GCGGGACUGGAGGGCAGCGCCCCCUGCCGGCCCCGCGCUGCGGCCUCCGACGGAGCCGCGCCCGAGGCUCGAGAUGGAGGCGCUGUGAGUGUGCGGAGGCACGGCGUGGGGAUAGCGAGGCCAGAACUCGUGUCAGAGAAAAAAACCAAACCUAACAAUCAGGAGUGUUUUUUCAGCGGCAGACAUUGUCUCUUACCCGUAAAUGGAUCAACCCCGCCCACUGGAGGUACUGUGUUUGAUGCUGAACCGGGAACAUAGCGACCAGCACCUAACAAAAAUGUCAAGUUUUUAAACAGCACCACCAAUAAAAAGAACUAUCUGUGCCUUUCCCCUCAAUCAUUUAAGAAUAUGAAAGUAUCUGUAGAAGUUGUUCAAGAGCUACAACACUGAAGUCUGCCUGGACAGACAAUUCUAUGAGGUUCAACAAGGCCAAGCGCUGGGUCCUCCCCCUGCGUCGCAACAACCCUGUGCAGAGAUACUGACUGGGGGCAGAGUGGCUGGAAAGCUGCCCAGAAGAAAAGGACCUGCUGAUCUUCAUCUGCCUGACCAUGAUCCAGGAGCGUGGCUGUGUGGGCAAGAAGGACAAUAGUAUCUUGGGCUUUUAUCCCAGCAGGACCAGGACUGUGACUGUCCCUCUGUACUUGGCCCUGGUGAAGCCACACCUCAAAUCCUGUGAUCAGUUCUGGGCCCAUCAUGGCAACACAAUGAGGUGCUGCAGGCAAGUCCAGAAAAGGGCAAUGGAGCUGGUGAAGGGUCUGGAGCACAGGUCUUGAGAAGCAGCUGAAGGAAUUGGGGGUGUUUAGGUGGUGCAGGUGGACCUUACUGCUCUCUACAAGUAUUUGAAAGGUAUCAAGGUGGGGGUCAAUCUCUUCUCCCAGUAGCAGGCUGCAAAGAAGUGGUCUCAAGCUGCACCAGGAGAGGUUUAGAUUGGAAAAAGUUCUAUACCGGAAGGGUGGUCAGGCAUUGGAAUAGGCUGCCCAGGGAAGUGUCUAAAUCAUCAUCCCUGAAGUAUCCAAAGAACUAUGUGAACAUGGGGAUAUGUUUUAGGGUUGAACAUGAAAGUGGUCAGUUAAUGGCUGAACUCAAUAUUCUUAGAGGUCUUUUCCAAUCUUAAUGAGAUUCUAUGAUUCUAUGAAAGUGAAAUGGAUUGAAACCUAAUGGAACAACCACGGCCAGAGGCUGGUGGCCAGUGCAACAACAUUUACUGGAAGCCAGCCACUGGUGGUGUACCCCAGGAGUCAAUCUGCAUCCAGUCCUGCUCCACAUCUUCACUAAUGAUGGUGUGGAAGAUCAGUCAGAGUGCAUCCUCAGCAAGUGCGCAAAGACACAAAACUUGGGGGAGUAUCUAAUGUCAUCACUUAAGUUUAAAAU
Long non-coding RNA from Serinus canaria (Common canary), 1371 nucleotides. RefSeq lists it as uncharacterized. The record is from RefSeq and is a predicted model, not a curated record. Lineage: Eukaryota; Metazoa; Chordata; Aves; Passeriformes; Fringillidae. The transcript is spliced from 3 exons.